UAGGAUGGUGACUCUUGGGCCAAGAUUUGGCACUCCUGUGAUCUUUUGACUCUUUUACAGUGUCUGCAAGUGGGGUGUCAUGUAUGGAUCCAGUUCAUUGUUGAGGUUGUUACUUGCCUUUUGGACAAAACUCCCACCCCGUUUGGCUCCAGAAAAUAUGUGCCAGGGCAUCCUGAAGAGGACCACAGUAGCCAGCCUGGGCAAGACUGCCUUUCACCGCAUGCACUCCCAUCGUUCUGGCUCCACAGGCAUCCUUUAUGGCCAUAGCAUCGUCCCUCUUCACAUUAUCAGUAAAGGCUAUGUCACUGCAGAAGAUACUGAGGAGUGUACUGUGUAGUUUUCCAGAGGCUAAAUGACAUGUGACACCGAAGCCAACUAAAUAUCAAAGAAGAUAUGAGUAUCCACCUGCAAAAUUGGAUAGAAUCCAAUUUCAUCUAUUAAGAUACCAAAAUAAUUUCCCUUUCUCACCUUGAAAUGACCUGAGCUAACAGAAGAAAUUUUCCUGCAUUGCUUAUGAGGAUCAUACAUAAAUCAAAAUGACCUGUUUGGAGGUUGCUGACAGUUCAGGCAUGGUGUCGGUGAUUAUGUGGAAUGCCCCAUGUCCUGAGUGGUUUAAAAUUUUGCGAGUUGGUUUAGUUUUUCUGCUUCAGGAUUAUUCUGUUAAAAAGAAUUAUCCAUUUAGAAUACAGCCUGUCUGUCCCCAUGGAUCCACAGAUCAAACUA
Molecule: non-coding RNA, 723 nt
Organism: Callithrix jacchus (white-tufted-ear marmoset)
Lineage: Eukaryota; Metazoa; Chordata; Mammalia; Primates; Cebidae
Source: RefSeq, a predicted model, not a curated record